AAAGGCUGCAGUAUUUUAACUGUACAAAGGUAGCAUAAUCAUUAGUUUUUUAAUUGAAAACUUGUAUGAAUGGUUUAACGAGAUAUUAGCUGUUUUAUAAAAAUUUAUAUAGAAUUUAAUUUUUAAAUCAAAAAGUUUAAAUAUAAUUAAAAGACGAGAAGACCCUAUAGAGUUUUAUAAUAAUAAAUUUAUAAAUUUUAUAUAAUUUUUUUAUUUUUAAUUUUAUUAUUAUUUUGUUGGGGUGACAGUAAAAUUUAAAAAACUUUUAUUUUUUUAUAAACAAAAAUUUUUGUAUUUUUGAUCCAGUUAUAUUGAUUAUAAGAUUAAAUUACCUUAGGGAUAACAGCG
This 348-nucleotide ribosomal RNA is filed under the name Leia bilineata. RNAcentral describes it as "partial 16S ribosomal RNA". The record is from RNAcentral. Lineage: Eukaryota; Metazoa; Arthropoda; Insecta; Diptera; Mycetophilidae.